This 491-nucleotide ribosomal RNA is filed under the name uncultured bacterium. Its description in RNAcentral is "partial 16S ribosomal RNA". It matches the Rfam family "Bacterial small subunit ribosomal RNA", at positions 29 to 507 of the family's 1533-position model. The record is from RNAcentral.
AUUGAACGCUGGCGGCAUGCUUUACACAUGCAAGUCGAACGGUAACAGGCCUUGGGUGCUGGCGAGUGGCGAACGGGUGAGUAAUGCAUCGGGACGUACCCAGAGGUGGGGGAUAACGCAGCGAAAGCUGUGCUAAUACCGCAUGUGAUCUGAGGAUGAAAGCGGGGGACCGAGCAGCAAUGUUUGGCCUCGCGCCUUUGGAGCGGCCGAUGUCGGAUUAGCUAGUUGGUGGGGUAAAGGCCUACCAAGGCGACGAUCCGUAGCUGGUCUGAGAGGACGACCAGCCACACUGGGACUGAGACACGGCCCAGACUCCUACGGGAGGCAGCAGUGGGGAAUUUUGGACAAUGGGCGCAAGCCUGAUCCAGCAAUGCCGCGUGCGGGAAGAAGGCCUUCGGGUUGUAAACCGCUUUUGGCAGGAACGAAACGGUGUCCGCUAAUACCGGGCGCUAAUGACGGUACCUGCAGAAUAAGCACCGGCUAACUACGUG